RNAcentral lists this long non-coding RNA (5644 nucleotides) under Sorghum bicolor (sorghum). RNAcentral describes it as "long non-coding RNA (SBIC_LNC017074)". Lineage: Eukaryota; Viridiplantae; Streptophyta; Magnoliopsida; Poales; Poaceae. The record is from RNAcentral.
CAUGUACUGGAUAUCGUACUAUCGAUGUUGUUGGUUGUUGGCAGGGCAGUAUCAUAAAUUUUGUUGGCAUGUAGGGUCUAAAGAGAAGCUCUGGCAUACAGGAAAUAUAUUGAUGCAUGGAAUGUACGUAGCAAGUAAAAUGUGUUCCUCUAAACUAAAGGGAAUUUUGUAACACCCAAAAUUUGAUUUUCAAAUAAUAGGAUUUAAUUUGAUUUAUUUGAAUAUUUUGUGAGCAUUUAAAUUAGUAAAGAAAUAAAUUUUAUUGAAAUUAAAAUUCAACAUAGAGAUAGAAACUUGUUUGUGCAUUCAUUCUGAAGCAUAUUUUAUUUUGUGUUGUUUGCUUUUGGUUUGAAUUCUAUUUGAUUCAAAUCCUAUCUGAAAUAUUGGUUUGGAAAAGCUUUUGAAAAAAAAUAAUAAAAAAAAACCACUCCCUGGAACCAGGCCGAGGCCUGGCUAUCCCUCCCCGCUCUCAGCCCAGUACGGCCCCAGCAGCGCGCCUCCCCCUCUCUCAGUCUCUGGCAACCGGGCCCCGCCCUUUCUCCCUCCGACAGCAUGCUCCCACUCGUCAGCGACCCGACCCCCGCCUUCCUUCUUCUUCCCCAAAUCGUGACCAAGCCGGUCUCUGGACCGAACAAAUCCGCCACCGAACGAGUACGCGAUCUUCCCUGUUCUUCGCGAAAUUUGUUGCCUUAAAUCAACUACCGAGUCCCUAUAAAGGACCUAGACCCCCUCUGCAUCGCCUUUUUGCCCUAGUUUCUAAGCUUGCUGCAUUUGCGAUCUCGCCGUCGAGCUCUACAGAACCGCCGCCGUGGAAACCGCAACUAGCAGCCGUUCUAGCGGAAUCGAGACCUUGCCGAGUUUCGCGUCGCUUCUGCGAGGUCGCCAAGCCCUCUCCUUCUUUCUCUCGUGCCUUGGUUUGCUCCCUAACCUUCGCCGAACGUGCAGGAACGCCGCCGUGCGCCAUCUUCCGUCGUCCGUUGUCUUCAGCCGUUCCCCGAGCCUCUAUAAUCGCCUAGGUGAGCUCGCCAACUCCCCCUCUGUCUCCCCAUGCUACCGGUUUAGCGAAUAGUGGUCCUUAGCGCGUCUUCUAUGAACUCUGGCGAGCUCGUGAUGCCAACAAUGGCGCGCCGCCGUGGGAAACUCGUCGCCGGCCGUGUGCCCCUCCCUGGUUUGUCCUGAGCCGUCGAAUCAAGAUUGAACGGCUCAGAUUAGAACAUACCCCUUCGUGGGGAUUUUUCUUAAAGAGCCCCUACGUUUUUUAAGUAUAAACCCGCAGUCCAUGGCGUAAAGCCUGGAAUACGUCUUCUCGAUUCUGAAAACAGUUCAAAUUACGCUUUCCAGUAUUUACAGUUUUGCCAUUGAGAUUGUUUUAACCAUAAAAUACUCGUUUUAAUUCCGUUUUGGCCCGUUUAAAUUGCGUUGGAUUCGUAUUUGAAAGACCUACAUGUUAGUAAUACUGUUUUCUCAGUUUGAAACCUUUUAAUUUCGUGACCCUAUUUGAUUAAUCAUUUUUCUAAACAAAAUCUUAGAAAAUUCGUAACUCCUUCGUUUUAAUUCCGAUUUUCACGAUCUUUACGUCCAUGAAAUCGUAGCGAUGCGUAGAAUCAUUUUAUAAACUUCUCAUACUGUUUUUAUAUGAUUGGUGUACUGUUCUAAUUAUAGCCUUGUUUGCUUCGUGUAUGUUUUCUCCGGUUGUUUGUGUGUUGAUGAUCGAUGAUCGAGUUUAGUCGGAAAGCAGUUUUUGGUGAUCAAGAUCAGAGCCUUGGACAAGUGAGACCAGCAGGACCAAAAGGAUAAGCAAGAGCAAUUGGAUUAAGGCAAGUAUAGCAUUUGGGUUUUAUUUCUGUGACCAUGAUCCUGUGACCAGAUUAAUGUUAAGUAAUAAAUGAUAAAAAUGACUUUUUAGCAACUUGAUGAUUUAUCUGUACGUGAUCACCCAGGACAACUGUGCAACCAUGAGGGCUAUAAUGGCUCUGGCUUUAGUUAAGUAUGAGUAACUUUUCUAGCUCGUUAGCGGUUACCCGUUGUGGCGCAAUUGGGGAAUAGCAUACCGUGGAUUCCUGCGGGUGAAUCACAAGGACUGACUAAUGAAACCAAGCGGCCCUAACUUGUUAGACGAACAUUUGAAAGACUUCAUAGUGAUCCCUGUCGACCUCCCUAGGAAGGGGGUUAAGAUAUUAGCUACCUUAGGCGAAAGGAUAAAUCAUGACUCAUAGGUAAAGAUGUGCAACCUCUGCAGAGGGUUAAAAACUAGUAUACUAGCCGAGCUCACGGUCAGGAGCGGCCUUGGGGACAUCUACAUUAAGGGUGAUGAUUCUUGUGUGUUAAUAUGCUCAUAUUUAUCGUUUAAAGCUUUACAUUAUUUAUGACACAUUGAUCAUGAGAUUGUGGGAUAUAUACAAUCUAGUUGCUAUACUUGUGGAGUUCGACAUGGACUCACUCUUGCUAUUUUCCCCAAACCUCAGGAGAAGUUUAGGCUUGUGAUCAACCAGUCAGUUGGAUCCUGUAGAGUGAAGUUAAUACCCGAAGUUUGGAGUUGUCUAUCCAUUGUUUGUUAUUAAAGGUUAUCUCUUUUUAUAUUAUGUAUGUUAUAUAUUUAUGCAUUGUCUUUUGAUAUUACCCCUUAUUUGUAGCUAUAUGUGAGAUUUGACUUCUAAGACUCACAUAUGGUGCAUAUCUGGUUUUGUCCUUAAAAUCGGGUAUUACAAAGUGGUAUCAAAGCAAUGCUGGCUGUAGGACGCAAGCCUAGUUAGAAAUUGGUCAUCUUAAGGUUUUGAAAUUGCUAUAAAAUCCUUGCUCUAUAAACCUUAAUAUUUUCCUCUAUACUAUACCAUUUUCAUUGCUAUUCAUCUUCACCUUGUUGCUUAUUUUAAAGACUUGUUCUCAUCCCCACCCCUUGCUUGAUAUGCUUUUAGAACUUUUUCUUACCACCUUCUGGCAUCAUUAGAAUAGGUGUCUUAGGAUCUCUACCCUUACUAUGAAGAGAACGAUAGUAUCGCAAGUUGAGUGAAGUGUGAACCUUCAAUGCUUAAUUGGUUGUUAUUAUGCUUAUGUUUGAUUUGGAUCUUUGUAAUGAGUGCAAUGAUCUUGUGUGAUUUCCCCAUAAUAUCAUUUAGUUUAUAGGCCUAAGGCAUAAGGAGUAAUGACAUAAGUAGUUGGGUUUGCUUAUAUCCUGUUUCUAUCCCUUGCUGUUUUCUGGAGCAGUCUACAAUAAUCAUGGUGUAUAUCAAGAUCUGAUCGUGCAAAGUUUACCAAACUUUUCUGGGAACAAUUAGACUUCAAGACCUUUCUCUGAGAGCAAGAAUCACCCUUAAAGCUAUUACCGUUUGGAAGUUACAAAAAUCACAAGACGAUGCAGAUGUGCUGACAAGAACCUGGAUCAGUUUCGGUUGCUUACUAUUUUAGACAUAUAUAACUAUAGAAUUUGGAAAAGUAUUCUAUAGAAACGUUGUAGAAAAUUUUCGAAGCUUUCCAACAAUAUAAUCUGGAACUCAUUUGGAUAAGUAGAACCCGAGAUAUAAUAUUUACAAUUGGAUGUCUCUGUUCUGUUUCCAAAAUCUGGACAGAUCUGGCAUUUCCUAUUUUCAGCCAAGUUAAAGACAGAAUCUGGGAAAGAGUUGUAUACGAAAGAUGUAGAGGAUUUCAUAAGCGUUUCAACAAUAUAAGGGUCAUCUCCAGAUGAGUUAAGUCGCUAGAGAUAUAAUUUCUGGAAUUUACUGCACCUUUGCUGAGACAUUAUCAGGAAGGAUAUUAUGUUUGGUUGUUUUACCUGAGCUUAAAGGCAGAAUCUAAGGAGGUCUUCUACUUGAAAGUUGUGGUGAAUUUCAUAAGUUUUCUAACGAUAUAAGCUAUAACGCUAUUGGAUUAAUGGAGUAAGAGUUAUAUCCGUUUUACUAUGCUGGUGUUUUUCAUUUCACGAGAAAAUUUCAGGAUACCAGUUUGCUCCAUUGCACAUAAGUUCUUUGGGAUGUCAGGUAGUGUCAAUGGUAGUUAAAUUGUCUGGAAAAAGUACAAGCUACCCUUCUUGUGAUCCCUAGUUGACUUUUCUUAAAGGGGGUAGCCCAGUUAAAGGAGUUACAAUGAGAAGGAUUGGCUAGUGUUCGAUCAUAUGUGAGGAUCACAAGCGCUUGGUAAAUUGGUUUUGAUUCAAGAUAUCAUCCCAUUCAGAGAAUAUUAAUGGAGAUAUAUGUCAUUGCUGAUACUCAUGGAUUAAGAGUUAUGUUAUGAGGAUCAGAUGACACCAAAGUUUACGAAGCUAUAAUUGGGAUGCGAGAGUGAAACAACUUAAUUGUGAUAAAGGUACCGAUAAUUGGGACUUAGUGAUGAAACUAACCUUAGAUCAAGAGACUCGGUACAAUGAAUGCAAAAGACUAUGAUGUGUAGCGUACAAAAAGGAUAGGAGAACUAUUCCCUAGUGUGCCCAAAUCAACCUCGUCUUAAGGGGGUAGUACCCUCAUAUCACAGGAUGAUGCAUUUUGAAGUGAUAACUGUCUUUUGAGAUAUCUUAUGAUUAUGAUCAUCUAUCCUUGUCGUGUUAUUGACGUUGGUCACUUGAUGACAGGGAGUGUAGUGUCCCAUGGAUUAGGAGCAUAAUAUGACAUCACUCAUGGAUAUGUGCACACAAGGCAGUGAUCUAUGCUACCCAGUGGAAACUUUUCUUAACCGCACCAUCACGGAAAAGAGUUGAGUAUCAAGGUGGUCCACUCCUACCUAAGGAGGCAUAUCCAUGCUAAGUUACCAUGUCUUCGAGUUGUAUAAGUCAAAAGUUGGUAGUCAAGAUGGACCUUGAACAAUUACGAAUAAUAGACAUUUUAUGAAAGUUUUGUUCACAAGUUGUGAUCCCGAGACAUGAGUGUUUGCUUUUGGAAUAUAGUGGUUAAGUUGAAAUAGUUAUCAAGACCUUUUUCCUGUUUCUCUUUUGGAAUUUGUGCCUUUUCCGAAUCUCGAGGACGAGAUUUAUUUUAAGGGGAUAGAGUUUGUAACACCCAAAAUUUGAUUUUUAAAUAAUAGGAUUUAAUUUGAUUUAUUUGAAUAUUUUGUGAGUAUUUAAAUUAGUAAAGAAAUAAAUUUUAUUGAAAUUAAAAUUCAACAUAGAGAUAGAAACUUGUUUGUGCAUUCAUUAUGAAGCAUAUUUUAUUUUGUGUUGUUUGCUUUUGGUUUGAAUUCUAUUUGAUUCAAAUCCUAUCUAAAAAAUUGGUUUGGAAAAGCUUUUGAAAAAAAUAAUAAAAAGAAAGAAACCACUCCCCUGGAACCAGGCCGAGGCCUGGCUAUCCCUCCCCGCUCUCGGCCCAGUACGGCCCCAGCAGCGCGCCUCCCCCUCUCUCAGUCUCUGGCAACCGGGCCCCACCCUUUCUCCCUCCGACAGCAUGGUCCCACUCGUCAGCGACCCGACCCCCGCCUUCCUUCUUCUUCCCCAAAUCGUGACCAAGCCUGUCUCUGGACCGAACAAAUCCGCCACCGAACGAGUCCGCGAUCUUCCCUGUUCUUCGCGAAAUUUGUUGCCUUAAAUCAACUACCGAGUCCCUAUAAAGGACCUAGACCCCCUCUGCAUCGCCUUUUUGCCCUAGUUUCUAAGCUUGCUGCAUUUGCGAUCUCGCCGUCGAGCUCUACAGAACCGCCGCCGUGGAAACCGCAACUAGCAGCC